GACGAACGCUGGCGGCGUGCUUAACACAUGCAAGUCGAACGGAAAGGCCCUGCUUUUGUGGGGUGCUCGAGUGGCGAACGGGUGAGUAACACGUGAGUAACCUGCCCUUGACUUUGGGAUAACUUCAGGAAACUGGGGCUAAUACCGGAUAGGAGCUCCUGCUGCAUGGUGGGGGUUGGAACGUUUCGGCGGUUGGGGAUGGACUCGCGGCUUAUGAGCUUGUUGGUGGGGUAGUGGCUUACCAAGGCUUUGACGGGUAGCCGGCCUGGGAGGGUGACCGGCCACAAUGGGACUGAGAUACGGCCCAGACUGCUACGGGAGGCAGCAGUGGGGAAUAUUGCACAAUGGGCGGAAGCCUGAGGCAGCAACGCCGCGUGCGGGAUGACGGCCUUCGGGUUGUAAACCGCUUUCGCCUGUGACGAAGCGUGAGUGACGGUAAUGGGUAAAGAAGCACCGGCUAACUACGUG
This 468-nucleotide ribosomal RNA is filed under the name uncultured bacterium. Its description in RNAcentral is "partial 16S ribosomal RNA". It matches the Rfam family "Bacterial small subunit ribosomal RNA", at positions 28 to 507 of the family's 1533-position model. The record is from RNAcentral.